RNAcentral lists this ribosomal RNA (253 nucleotides) under uncultured bacterium. Its description in RNAcentral is "partial 16S ribosomal RNA". It matches the Rfam family "Bacterial small subunit ribosomal RNA", at positions 524 to 776 of the family's 1533-position model. The record is from RNAcentral.
UACGUAGGGUGCAAGCGUUGUCCGGAAUUAUUGGGCGUAAAGAGCUCGUAGGCGGUUUGUCGCGUCUGCUGUGAAAACCCGAGGCUCAACCGCGGGCCUGCAGUGGGUACGGGCAGACUAGAGUUCGGUAGGGGAGACUGGAAUUCCUGGUGUAGCGGUGAAAUGCGCAGAUAUCAGGAGGAACACCGGUGGCGAAGGCGGGUCUCUGGGCCGAUACUGACGCUGAGGAGCGAAAGCGUGGGGAGCGAACAGG